UUCGCAAUGCCCGAAAGGGUGACAAUGCGACGCCGCGUGUGCGAUGAAGGCCUUCGGGUCGUAAAGCACUGUCAACCGGAAGGAAUCUCUGGAGCUCUAACAGAGCUGCAGGGCGACAGUACCGGUGGAGGAAGCCACGGCUAACUCCGUGCCAGCAGCCGCGGUAAUACGGAGGUGGCAAGCGUUACUCGGAUUGAUUGGGUGUAAAGCGCGCGUAGGUGGUCCUGUAAGCGGGGGAUGAAAGCCCAUGGCUCACCCAUGGAACUGUCCCUCGGACUGCAGGGCUGGAGGGCGGGAGGGGAGAAUGGAAUUCCCGGUGUAGCGGUGAAAUGCGUAGAUAUCGGGAGGAACGCCGGUGGCGAAAGCGAUUCUCUGGUCCGCUCCUGACACUGAGUGCGCGAGAGCUAGGGGAGCAAACAGGAUUAGAUACCCUGGUAGUCCUAGCUGUAAACGAUGGGCACUAAGUAGAGGGGUUUU
RNAcentral lists this ribosomal RNA (477 nucleotides) under uncultured Planctomycetota bacterium. RNAcentral describes it as "bacterial SSU rRNA". It matches the Rfam family "Bacterial small subunit ribosomal RNA", at positions 365 to 832 of the family's 1533-position model. Lineage: Bacteria; Pseudomonadati; Planctomycetota. The record is from RNAcentral.